GCGAAGUAGCUGAUUUCACACUGUCAAGAAAAGCUUCUAUCGAGUUUAAAGGCGCCCGUACCGUAAACCGACACAGGUGGGUGAGGAGAGUAUCCUAAGGCCAGCGAGAGAACUAUUGUUAAGGAACUCGGCAAAAUGACCCCGUAACUUAGGGAGAAGGGGUGCCUGUCUAUGACAGGCCGCAGAGAAUAGGCCCAAGCGACUGUUUACCAAAAACACAGGUUUCUGCUAAGUCGCAAGACGAUGUAUAGGAGCUGACGCCUGCCCGGUGCUGGAAGGUUAAGGGGAUCUGUUAGAGCAAUCGAAGCAGUGAACUUAAGCCCCAGUAAACGGCGGCCGUAACAAUAACGGUCCUAAGGUAGCGAAAUUCCUUGUCGGGUAAGUUCCGACCCGCACGAAAGGCGUAACGAUUUGGGCACUGUCUCAACAAUAGACUCGGUGAAAUUGUGAUCCUGGUGAAGAUGCCGGGUACCUGCGACAGGACGGAAAGACCCCAUGGAGCUUUACUGUAGCUUGACGUUGGGUCUUGGUACUACAUGUACAGGAUAGGUGGGAGACUAUGAAGCAUGGACGCCAGUCUGUGUGGAGUCAUCCUUGGGAUACCACCCUUGUAGUACUGGGAUCCUAACCAUAGGCCUUGAAUCAGGUCUUGGAACACCGUCAGGUGGGCAGUUUGACUGGGGCGGUCGCCUCCUAAAAAGUAACGGAGGCGCUCAAAGGUUUCCUCAGCACGGUCGGAAAUCGUGCGAAGAGUGUAAAGGCAAAAGGAAGCUUGAUUGCAAGACAUACAGGUCGAGCAAGGGCGAAAGUCGGACUUAGUGAUCCGGUGGUACCGCAUGGAAGGGCCAUCGCUCAACGGAUAAAAGCUACCCUGGGGAUAACAGGCUUAUCUCCCCCAAGAGUCCACAUCGACGGGGAGGUUUGGCACCUCGAUGUCGGCUCAUCACAUCCUGGGGCUGUAGUAGGUCCCAAGGGUUGGGCUGUUCGCCCAUUAAAGUGGUACGCGAGCUGGGUUCAGAACGUCGUGAGACAGUUCGGUCCCUAUCCGUCGCAGGCGUAGGAAAUUUGAGAAGACCUGUCCUUAGUACGAGAGGACCGGGAUGGACGCACCUCUGGUGUACCAGUUGUUCUGCCAAGGGCAUGGCUGGGUAGCUAUGUACGGAAUGGAUAAGCGCUGAAAGCAUCUAAGCGCGAAGCCAACUUCAAGAUAAGAUUUCCCACCGUAAGGGUAAGACCCCAGGAAGACUACCUGGUUGAUAGGUCGAAGGUGUAAGUGCAGUAAUGUAUUUAGCUUAUCGAUACUAAUAGGUCGAGGACUUGAUC
This 1323-nucleotide ribosomal RNA is filed under the name metagenome. Its description in RNAcentral is "bacterial LSU rRNA". It matches the Rfam family "Bacterial large subunit ribosomal RNA", at positions 1585 to 2925 of the family's 2925-position model. The record is from RNAcentral.